AUUGAACGCUGGCGGAAUGCCUUACACAUGCAAGUCGAACGGUAACAGGUCUUCGGAUGCUGACGAGUGGCGAACGGGUGAGUAAUACAUCGGAACGUGCCCGAUCGUGGGGGAUAACGCAGCGAAAGCUGUGCUAAUACCGCAUACGAUCUACGGAUGAAAGCGGGGGAUCGCAAGACCUCGCGCGGACGGAGCGGCCGAUGGCAGAUUAGGUAGUUGGUGGGAUAAAAGCUUACCAAGCCGACGAUCUGUAGCUGGUCUGAGAGGACGACCAGCCACACUGGGACUGAGACACGGCCCAGACUCCUACGGGAGGCAGCAGUGGGGAAUUUUGGACAAUGGGCGCAAGCCUGAUCCAGCCAUGCCGCGUGCAGGAUGAAGGCCUUCGGUUGUAAACUGCUUUGUACGGACGAAAAGACUCUCUCUAAUACAGGGGUGAAUGACGGUACCGUAAGAAUAAGCACCGGCUAACUACGUGCCAGCAGCCG
RNAcentral lists this ribosomal RNA (488 nucleotides) under uncultured bacterium. Its description in RNAcentral is "bacterial SSU rRNA". It matches the Rfam family "Bacterial small subunit ribosomal RNA", at positions 30 to 517 of the family's 1533-position model. The record is from RNAcentral.